RNAcentral lists this ribosomal RNA (253 nucleotides) under uncultured bacterium. RNAcentral's name for it is "partial 16S ribosomal RNA". It matches the Rfam family "Bacterial small subunit ribosomal RNA", at positions 524 to 776 of the family's 1533-position model. The record is from RNAcentral.
UACGUAGGGUGCAAGCGUUGUCCGGAAUUAUUGGGCGUAAAGAGCUCGUAGGCGGUCUGUCGCGUCGGCUGCGAAAUCCCGAGGCUCAACCUCGGGUCUGCAGUCGAUACGGGCAAACUAGAGUAUUGCAGGGGAGACUGGAAUUCCUGGUGUAGCGGUGAAAUGCGCAGAUAUCAGGAGGAACACCGAUGGCGAAGGCAGGUCUCUGGGCCGAUACUGACGCUGAGGAGCGAAAGCGUGGGGAGCGAACAGG